UUAAUCUCUCCCAUGCAUCGUACAUGCUUUCAUCAUCAAACUGCACAAAAGAAGAUAUGUCAUUUCUAAGUUU
RNAcentral lists this small nucleolar RNA (73 nucleotides) under Ricinus communis (castor bean). RNAcentral describes it as "Plant small nucleolar RNA R71". It matches the Rfam family "Plant small nucleolar RNA R71", at positions 35 to 107 of the family's 107-position model. Rfam says of the family: R71 is a member of the C/D box family of snoRNAs containing the C (UGAUGA) and D (CUGA) box motifs. Multiple nearly identical copies of this snoRNA have been identified in Arabidopsis, and it is thought to function as a 2'-O-ribose methylation guide for 18S ribosomal RNA. The record is from Rfam by way of RNAcentral. Lineage: Eukaryota; Viridiplantae; Streptophyta; Magnoliopsida; Malpighiales; Euphorbiaceae.